GUCAGAUUGGCCGAGCGGUGUAAGGCGCCAGAUUUAACCUCUGGUUCCCGUAAGGGAGCGUGGGUUCGACCCCACAUCUGACA
Molecule: transfer RNA, 83 nt
Filed under: Schistocerca americana (American grasshopper)
Lineage: Eukaryota; Metazoa; Arthropoda; Insecta; Orthoptera; Acrididae
Description: tRNA-Leu
Rfam family: tRNA
About the family: Transfer RNA (tRNA) molecules are approximately 80 nucleotides in length. Their secondary structure includes four short double-helical elements and three loops (D, anti-codon, and T loops). Further hydrogen bonds mediate the characteristic L-shaped molecular structure. tRNAs have two regions of fundamental functional importance: the anti-codon, which is responsible for specific mRNA codon recognition, and the 3' end, to which the tRNAs corresponding amino acid is attached (by aminoacyl-tRNA synthetases). tRNAs cope with the degeneracy of the genetic code in two manners: having more than one tRNA (with a specific anti-codon) for a particular amino acid; and 'wobble' base-pairing, i.e. permitting non-standard base-pairing at the 3rd anti-codon position.
Source: RNAcentral